This 525-nucleotide ribosomal RNA is filed under the name uncultured bacterium. Its description in RNAcentral is "partial 16S ribosomal RNA". It matches the Rfam family "Bacterial small subunit ribosomal RNA", at positions 355 to 871 of the family's 1533-position model. The record is from RNAcentral.
UAGGGAAUCUUCCACAAUGGACGAAAGUCUGAUGGAGCAACGCCGCGUGAGUGAUGAAGGGUUUCGGCUCGUAAAACACUGUUGUUGGAGAAGAACAGGUGUGAGAGUAACUGUUCACAUCUUGACGGUAUCCAACCAGAAAGCCACGGCUAACUACGUGCCAGCAGCCGCGGUAAUACGUAGGUGGCAAGCGUUGUCCGGAUUUAUUGGGCGUAAAGCGAGCGCAGGCGGUUUUUUAGGUCUGAUGUGAAAGCCUUCGGCUUAACCGGAGAAGUGCAUCGGAAACCGGGAGACUUGAGUGCAGAAGAGGACAGUGGAACUCCAUGUGUAGCGGUGAAAUGCGUAGAUAUAUGGAAGAACACCAGUGGCGAAGGCGGCUGUCUGGUCUGUAACUGACGCUGAGGCUCGAAAGCAUGGGUAGCGAACAGGAUUAGAUACCCUGGUAGUCCAUGCCGUAAACGAUGAGUGCUAAGUGUUGGAGGGUUUCCGCCCUUCAGUGCUGCAGCUAACGCAUUAAGCACUCCG